UUGGCCGAGCGAACUCUUGCUGAUCGUUAUCAAAUCAUGAUGUCUGGUGGUGAUGGUUAUGAUUCUCAGAUUUCUAACUGGAUGCAUAUGCUGCUGCCUCUGGCUUUGGAAAGAGGAACUUGCAUAAUUACCAAUAUGGGUGCAAUGGAUCCUCUGGGUGCUGAACAGAAGGUCUUAGAAAUAGCUAACAGCCUGGGUCUCAAUGUUUCUGUUGUUGUGGCUCACGAGGUGUCGGUCACUAAUAUAGUAGGUAU
Glycine soja is the source of this 254-nucleotide long non-coding RNA. RefSeq lists it as uncharacterized. The transcript is spliced from 3 exons. The record is from RefSeq and is a predicted model, not a curated record. Lineage: Eukaryota; Viridiplantae; Streptophyta; Magnoliopsida; Fabales; Fabaceae.